UGCUGUUCUCAUGGUGCCGGGUGCUU
RNAcentral lists this non-coding RNA (26 nucleotides) under Mus musculus (house mouse). The record is from RNAcentral. Lineage: Eukaryota; Metazoa; Chordata; Mammalia; Rodentia; Muridae.